RNAcentral lists this ribosomal RNA (253 nucleotides) under uncultured bacterium. Its description in RNAcentral is "partial 16S ribosomal RNA". It matches the Rfam family "Bacterial small subunit ribosomal RNA", at positions 524 to 776 of the family's 1533-position model. The record is from RNAcentral.
UACAGAGGAGGCAAGCGUUGUUCGGAAUUACUGGGCGUAAAGCGUGUGCAGGCGGCUGUGCAAGUCGGGUGUGAAAGCCCCGAGCUUAACUUGGGAACUGCGCUCGAAACUACUUGGCUAGAGUGUGGCAGAGGGAGGUGGAAUUCCACGUGUAGCGGUGAAAUGCGUAGAGAUGUGGAGGAACACCGAUGGCGAAGGCAGCCUCCUGGGCCAACACUGACGCUCAUGCACGAAAGCGUGGGGAGCAAACAGG